CAUGCUGCUCAACAAGAAUACUAUGCUACUCAGUUUCAACAACAGCAAGCACUGAUACAACAACUAGCACAAGCCCAAGGGAUACAGUUUCCGAUGGCCCCCCCACCUCCACCUUCCAUACAUUUUCCUUGGCCUUCACCUCCACCUCCACCUACCGAACAUCAGGUAUAUGAGACUCCUCCAGCUACCUUGCCGGCGCAGCAACAAGAUGAUGGGUUAGACUUUGUCAAUACGCUCUUCGCGAGUGGAGGUAGCGAGCAUCACUCUUCGAUAUUUCCUGAUGUUGAUCGACAAUAGUGGGCU
Molecule: long non-coding RNA, 303 nt
Organism: Zea mays
Lineage: Eukaryota; Viridiplantae; Streptophyta; Magnoliopsida; Poales; Poaceae
Exons: 3
Source: RefSeq, a predicted model, not a curated record